GACGAACGCUGGCGGCGUGCUUAACACAUGCAAGUCGAACGGAAAGGCCCUGCUUUUGUGGGGUACUCGAGUGGCGAACGGGUGAGUAACACGUGAGUAACCUGCCCUUGACUUUGGGAUAACUUCAGGAAACUGGGGCUAAUACCGGAUAGGAGCUCCUGCUGCAUGGUGGGGGUUGGAAAGUUUCGGCGGUUGGGGAUGGACUCGCGGCUUAUCAGCUUGUUGGUGGGGUAGUGGCUUACCAAGGCUUUGACGGGUAGCCGGCCUGAGAGGGUGACCGGCCACAUUGGGACUGAGAUACGACCCAGACUCCUACGGGAGGCAGCAGUGGGGAAUAUUGCACAAGGGGCGGAAGCCUGAUGCAGCAACGCCGCGUGCGGGAUGACGGCCUUCGGGUUGUAAACCGCUUUCGCCUGUGACGAAGCGUGAGUGACGGUAAUGGGUAAAGAAGCACCGGCUAACUACGUG
RNAcentral lists this ribosomal RNA (468 nucleotides) under uncultured bacterium. Its description in RNAcentral is "partial 16S ribosomal RNA". It matches the Rfam family "Bacterial small subunit ribosomal RNA", at positions 28 to 507 of the family's 1533-position model. The record is from RNAcentral.